Molecule: ribosomal RNA, 459 nt
Filed under: uncultured bacterium
Lineage: Bacteria
Description: SSU rRNA
Rfam family: Bacterial small subunit ribosomal RNA
Source: RNAcentral
AGAAUCAACGCUGGCGGCGUGCCUAACACAUGCAAGUCGAACGAGAAAGUGGGAGCAAUCCCACGAGUAAAGUGGCGCACGGGUGAGUAACACGUGACUAACCUACCCUUGAGUGGGGGAUAACCUAGGGAAACCUGGGCUAAUACCGCAUAAUACCUACGGGUCAAAGGAGCAAUUCGCUUUAGGAGGGGGUCGCGGCAGAUUAGUUAGUUGGCGGGGUAAUGGCCCACCAAGACAGUGAUCUGUAUCCGGCCUGAGAGGGCGCACGGACACACUGGAACUGAAACACGGUCCAGACUCCUACGGGAGGCAGCAGUGGGGAAUUUGCGCAAUGGGGGAAACCCUGACGCAGCAACGCCGCGUGGAGGAUGAAGCCCCUUGGGGCGUAAACUCCUUUCGAUCGGGAAGAUAAUGACGGUACCGGAAGAAGAGCCCGGCUAACUUCGCGCCAGCAGCCGC